CAGAACCAGAGCUGGCAACAGCCUCCAGGAUCAGCUAAGCCUGGGCCCUUAUUUUCCAGACAAGGAAGUGAUCCUGCUUUUCAGGGUCAGGGACGGGACAGACGCCAGGGCUCCUGCCUCAAGGGCUUUGCAAAGAAGUAACGACUCAACAUCCUCUCUGAACAGAAAUGAACAAGGAAGUGACUUUGAGCUCCCACUGACUGGCACAGCUGGGUGUAUCUUGCACAGGGGACUGUAAGUGUAAAAGGCAAGAUGUCCAACUCAACUGCCGCUGCUUCCAUGACCCUAAGGGUAAAAGUGAAACAGACAGCUGCACUAGGCCCAGUGAAGUCUGGAGUAAUCCAUAGUGACUUGUUUAAUUAGAAGUUAUUAUUC
Molecule: long non-coding RNA, 375 nt
Organism: Pipistrellus kuhlii (Kuhl's pipistrelle)
Lineage: Eukaryota; Metazoa; Chordata; Mammalia; Chiroptera; Vespertilionidae
Exons: 4
Source: RefSeq, a predicted model, not a curated record